CACCACCACACUGGCUAAUUUUUUUUUCCGUAUUUUCAGCAGAGAUGGGGUUUCACCAUGUUGGCCAGGGUGGUCUCGAACUCCUGAUCUCAGGUGAUCCUCCUGCCUCAGCCUCCCAAAGUGCUGGGAUUACAGGCGUGAGCCACCGCACCUAGCCUGAGAUGGUGACCCCUCUGAAGAGGUAGCACUACUUAACUCCAGCCCAGUGUAACCAGAUCUGAUUUAAAGCACCGGGUGGGCCACACAAGGCACAUCUGUAGGUAGGAUUCCACCCAGUUUGUGAUUUCAAGACUAGACACUCUCUGCCAUCCACCAGUUCUCCUUUUCCUCCCUCCCGCCUUCCCUGGCUCCCUGCCUGGCCCAGAGUGCCGGACCUCUAGAGGCUAAGGCAGGGCCCUUCUCUGCUUACCUAAUAUAGCUGUGCUCCCAGGCCCUGACCAGCCGAUCCUCCGCCCUGAAGGUUCCCAUGCGGCUAUAAAAAGUCCGCACUGCCCACAGACCUUCCCCUUAGGACAACAGCAGCUUCCAGACACAACAUUCAGUUCUCCCCAGCCUCCCGGGAUGCCCAGUGCCUCUACAGAAUCCAGCUCCUGCACUCUGCCUUCGGCCUGCACUCUGCCUUCGGCCUGCACUCUGCCUUCGGCCUGCACUCUGCCUUCGGCCUGGAGCUUACAUACCUUCCUUCAAUGUGGGGGGAUUUAGCUAGAGUAGGACCUUCCCAAGGAGCGACAGGAGCUGAAACCCUGAGGGCUCUUUGUCUGAGAAGUGCAGGUCUGCGCACCCUAUCCUUCCAUCCUACUGCAUUCUACUUGCAGUCAGAUUCCUCCAGGGCAAAGAAGGCCCUGCUUAGGAGAACAUCCCAAGACCCAGGGGCAGCCUGUCCUUCCAGGUUGAGACUCAGAACAACCCCCUGCCCACCGUGUCCUCUCCUGCUUCCUCUCCCCAAAGCCCUGUGGGACUACAGACCGAGACUCCCUUCCAACUUCCUAAGCCCCUUCCAGGCCUAGAGAGGGUGGUGCAGUAUUCCGGUUCCUCAAAGAGGAAGCAGCUACUCAGGCUGGAGGUGAAGGAACUCAGUCCCAGGGUCAAGUUUGAUGAGUGCAAUAAAUGUCUGUUUUAGGUGAUCCCAAAACUUGAGGGAUGUCAGACAGGCCAAGAGCCCCUCCUGGUUUGAUAUCCCAAAGAGUUGUGAUUCAGAGCCUCGGCUUCACUCACUCAGACUUCUGGGACCUAGACUAGAGCGAGGCAAGACUAGAGCGAGGCAGAACAAGAGAGACCUUCCCAUCUGGGAGAGUGGAUCAAAGCAUGCCUGAGAUAACAGUGACUGGCCGAACCCCAGGAACCAGUCUCAGGAGAUGUCUGCAGAGAGUCAGCAUUUUUGUUUCUGGCUGAAUCUUCUGCACUUGGCUCAGAGAUAGCAUAACCCAGGAAGGCAGGGAGGUAGCAGGUGGCACAGAACUCCAAGAGGCGGGCCGGGCGUGGUGGCUCAUGCCUGUCAUCCCAGCACUUUGGGAGGCCGAGGCGGGUGGAUGACCUGAAGUUGGGAGUUCAAGACCAGCCUGCCAACAUGGCGAAACCCCGUCUGUACUAAAAAUACAAAAAUUAGCCGCGUGUGGUGGCGGGCACCCAUAAUCCCAGCUACUUGGGAAGCUGAGGCAGGAAAAUCACUGAACCCAGGAGGCAGAGGCUUCAGUGAGCCGAGAUGCGCCACUGCACUCCAGCUUGGGUAACAGAGCGAGACUCCAUCUCAAAACCACAAAAAAACAAAAAACAAAACAAAACAAAACAAAACUUUAAAAGGCAGUUUAGCCUGCUGGCUUUGGGCUCAAACAGUCUUAGGGACAAAUUCUGGCUCUGCCACUUGCUUGCUGUGUGACCUUGGGCAGGUCAUUUCACCUCUCUGUGCUCCAGCUUCCUUCUCCAUACUGUGGGAGAUGCUCAUGACUAGUCACAGGAUUCCUGCGACAAGUAAUGAGUUAUACACAUAAAGUGCUCUGCAUGGUGGCUAGGGCAUGGCAAGAGGAGGUGAAUAAAUAGAGUUGCCAUAGUGAUGGCAAUGAUGGCGAUGAUGAUGGUGGUGGCAGUGAUGUAAUUUAAGAGAUGCUGGGUGCCAGAAGGCAUUUACUUCUGGCUGCAGAGGAAGUGGGGGAGCAUCUGCCAAUCAGGAAAGAAAUGAGAAGGAUGGAGAGGAAUUUGCUCCCAUGAAGAAUGGAGAGUGGUAGCUGGGGAAUUUCCACUGCAUCUCUUGAUCAUAAUACUGCCUAACACCAAGUUGCCCCAGAGGCUGCAAUUCUUUUCUGGCCAAUGAUGGCACCUGACAGCCUGGUCCUGCCCAGCUCUGAGCCUGGUGCAGGCUGCCUCUCACCAUUUCCAGUUCCCCAGAUACCGCUCAGGAAGCCAAGUGGGCAGCAACCCAUGGACCGACAAUUUCUCCUGGCACCAAGGCAACGUCUCCUAAGUGUGGCAUGGCAACAGGAGGGGCAAGUGUGCCUCAUGACCUAACAGCUUUCUAAUAAUACAAGCUGGCCAAGAGUAUGCACAUCAAAGCUCCCUCUUGCCGAAUGAAUGUCUUCAAGGAGAAGCCGAAUGAGGGAGUGCCUGGUGAGCGGGGAGGGGACUGAUGCGCUGAGCGGGAAUUUGGACUAGACGACUUCUAAGGUCAGAUCCAGAAAUCUAUGAAUAACAUUUCUGACAGCAGGGGAAAGAGAGAGGCAGCCUCUCGUAGAGGAAAAAAUAAAAAUAAAAUGCCAGCUCUGAUUUUACACAGACCAGGGUUUAAAUCCCAGCUCUGCUUCCUAUCGACUGUGUAACCUUAGGAAGGCUCUAUCUCUGAGUCCAGCUUCUUUCUCUAUAAAACAGCCAAAAGAACUAUGUAGCGGAAAAGAGAAAAUGAGAUAACAGACAUUAGGUAUGUUGCAGAUAUUUAGAAAAAAAAAAAAGCAAUUAUUAAUACUAUGAUAGAAACACGAAAUUGACUGCAGUAAGUUUUUUUAUCUUUUACUCUGUGGACUGAAAAUCUCUCCUAUUUCCUGUUUCUCCUCCAUCCCGCUUCUCUAAAACCCAGAGUGGAACAAUUAUGGUUAUGAUGACAAGAAUACUAACAUUUAUUGACUACUAUAGGCCAGGCACUGUGCACAGCACUUUAUUUCAUUCCCAGAAUCACCUUAAGAGGUGGAUAUUAGUAUGCCCAAUUGAUGGAUGGACAAGGGAAUCGAGGAACAGAGAGGUUAAGUAAUCUGUCUAAGGUCACAUGGCCAGAAAGAGGAGGCCUGUGUAAUCUGACUCUUAAGCAUGCUGUUGUGUAAGGGAAGAUGGGUGGGACAGAAGGAUAAUCCUUGUUCUUAAGUUCACUUCCUCAAGCUCUGGAUGGAACCUAUUACAAGGGCUAAUUCAGAUCACUUUCUGCUUCUCUGGGACAGCGCGGAGGGCACUUCCGAUGCAGAAGACUCCCCUAAGAAGAUACCAGAUUAUGGGGGAGGCGUGCAUGGAAGAAACAACAAGCCCUUGGAAGGAUCUAAGGAACAGCAAAGAUUAGAAGGAAUUUGAUGUGAGCAGCUUAGCCAAAUGAGGAAGACGACAGGCAGAAAAGCCCAAAGUGUCCUAAAUUGAGAGGCUGGUAAACUGACCAAGAUAGGAUGGGGUUGGGGAUACAGACGCCAAUAGCUCACCCGAGGCCAUAGGUAAGUCACUUAACCCCUCCCUCUGAAUGUCAAUCAAGUUCCUUGUCUGGAAAAUGGAAGAAUUGGAGGAAAACAACGCCAUCAUUCCCUCUUCCUUUAAAUAAUACCUGAGUCUCUUCUAUG
This 3803-nucleotide long non-coding RNA is filed under the name Homo sapiens (human). Its description in RNAcentral is "HSALNT0195989". Lineage: Eukaryota; Metazoa; Chordata; Mammalia; Primates; Hominidae. The record is from RNAcentral.